AGUGGGGAAUAUUGCACAACUGGGGGGAAAACCCUGAUGCUAGGCCUAUGACCGCGUGUGUGAAGAAGGCCUUCGGGUUGUAAAGCACUUUCAGUAGGGAGGAAGGUAGUGUAGUUAACACCUGCAUUAUUUGACGUUACCUACAGAAGAAGCACCGGGCUAACUCCGUGCCCAGCUAGCCGCGGUAAUACGGAGGGUGCGAGCGUUAAUCGGAAUUACUGGGCGUAAAGCGCAUGCAGGCGGCCUGUUAAGUCAGAUGUGAAAGCCCGGGGCUUAACCUCGGAAUUGUCAUUUGAAACUGGCAGGCUAGAGUCUUGUAGAGGGGGUAGAAUUUCAGGUGUAGCGGUGAAAAUGCGUAGAGAUCUGAAGGAAUACCAGUGGCGAAGGCGGCCCCCUGGACAAAGACUGACGCUCAGAUGCGAAAAGCGUGGGGAGCAAACAGGAUUAGAUACCCUGGUAG
Molecule: ribosomal RNA, 460 nt
Filed under: uncultured bacterium
Lineage: Bacteria
Description: bacterial SSU rRNA
Rfam family: Bacterial small subunit ribosomal RNA
Source: RNAcentral